Long non-coding RNA from Prinia subflava (tawny-flanked prinia), 699 nucleotides. RefSeq lists it as uncharacterized. NCBI's taxonomy places the organism in Eukaryota, Metazoa, Chordata, Aves, Passeriformes, Cisticolidae. The record is from RefSeq and is a predicted model, not a curated record. The transcript has 3 exons.
AGGGCUGCACCCCAUGGGAGAGAGCUGCCCAGGAGCAGAUCUGGGAGGGCUCUGUGCCCGUGGGGGGGACUCAGGCUGCAGCAGGUGCGGUUUGGCUGCUGCUUGUGAGAGUGGAGCCACGCUGGGGAAGUUCACACAGAGCUGUCUCCCGUGGGAGGGACCCCGUGGCCUCACAGGGGAAGGAUUCCUCUCCUGGAACAGGAUGGACUCCUCUCCUGGAGCAGCAGAAGAAAAUCUCACUGAUGAACUGACCAAAGCCCCCAGACCCUGUAUCCUGCACUAAGGGCUGGAAUCUGGAGAUGGGUCAGCUGCCAAAUGGGAGAGGACACAAACAACCAGGAAGGAAUGGUCCUCAUAAUAGGAAGAAGAGGGUGGAUGCCUUCUUGUUAAUGGGACACCUGAUAACACCAGAUAAGGCAGUGCCUUCUUAUCUCUUCCUCCACCCAUCCUCCUCUGAGGGACAUCACCUGUGAAUGGGCCAUUUAAGGCCUCUCACAUGACUGAGAACAUCACCUCAUUCCAUUGUGAGAUGCUCUACCCAGUGGGAGGAGCCAAAGCCUUUCCACUGGCAUAAAACCAGCAAUCCCAAACACCAAGAGAGCUUGUUUCCACUGGAUUCCCAGAGGAAGACUGGACCCUUUCUUGAGGAUCAUCUCUACUCCAAUGGAGCCACAUCUGUCACUCCAGGAAAACUUAUUU